CUGGGACUGAGACCCGGCCCAGACUCCUACGGGAGGCAGCAGUAGGGAAUCUUCCACAAUGGACGAAAGUUUGAUGGAGCAACGCCGCGUGAGUGAAGAAGGUUUUCGGAUCGUAAAACUCUGUUGUUGGAGAAGAACGUAUUUGAUAGUAACUGAUCAGGUAGUGACGGUAUCCAACCAGAAAGCCACGGCUAACUACGUGCCAGCAGCCGCGGUAAUACGUAGGUGGCAAGCGUUGUCCGGAUUUAUUGGGCGUAAAGCGAGCGCAGGCGGUUUCUUAAGUCUGAUGUGAAAGCCUUCGGCUCAACCGAAGAAGUGCAUCGGAAACUGGGAAACUUGAGUGCAGAAGAGGACAGUGGAACUCCAUGUGUAGCGGUGAAAUGCGUAGAUAUAUGGAAGAACACCAGUGGCGAAGGCGGCUGUCUGGUCUGUAACUGACGCUGAGGCUCGAAAGCAUGGGUAGCAAACAGGAUUAGAUACCCUGGUAGUCCAUGCCGUAAACGAUGAGUGCUAGGUGUUGGAGGGUUUCCGCCCUUCAGUGCCGCAGCUAACGCAUUAAGCACUCCGCCUGGGGAGUACGACCGCAAGGUUGAAACUCAAAGGAAUUGACGGGGGCCCGCACAAGCGGUGGAGCAUGUGGUUUAAUUCGAAGCAACGCGAAGAACCUUACCAGGUCUUGACAUCCUUUGACCACUCUAGAGAUAGAGCUUUCCCUUCGGGGACAAAGUGACAGGUGGUGCAUGGUUGUCGUCAGCUCGUGUCGUGAGAUGUUGGGUUAAGUCCCGCAACGAGCGCAACCCUUAUUACUAGUUGCCAGCAUUUAGUUGGGCACUCUAGUGAGACUGCCGGUGACAAACCGGAGGAAGGUGGGGACGACGUCAAAUCAUCAUGCCCCUUAUGACCUGGGCUACACACGUGCUACAAUGGAUGGUACAACGAGUCGCGAGACCGCGAGGUUUAGCUAAUCUCUUAAAACCAUUCUCAGUUCGGAUUGUAGGCUGCAACUCGCCUACAUGAAGCCGGAAUCGCUAGUAAUCGCGGAUCAGCAUGCCGCGGUGAAUACGUUCCCGGGCCUUGUACACACCGCCCGUCACACCAUGAGAGUUUGUAACACCCAAAGCCGGUGAGGUAACCUUCGGGAGCCAGCCGUCUAAG
Molecule: ribosomal RNA, 1155 nt
Filed under: Latilactobacillus curvatus
Lineage: Bacteria; Bacillati; Bacillota; Bacilli; Lactobacillales; Lactobacillaceae
Description: bacterial SSU rRNA
Rfam family: Bacterial small subunit ribosomal RNA
Source: RNAcentral